AGGGUUCCUUGUGGGCACUGAGGAGGGAGAGCCGAGGGCUGGGCAGGAGUCUGGGAAGGAGCGGGUGGGGUCCACUUUCCCCAGGUGCGCUGGACUCUGUCCCUCCAUGGCUCAUGGACAAUGAUUGACCUGAAGCCGCUCCAGGAAGUCUACUCGGGAGUCCUCACUGCCUGCUCCCCUAUGGCCCUAAGGGACUCAAGCCUCUCCUCGAGAAGGUCCCUCAUAGGGGUUCCUUCCCCUUCAGACCAGAAGACCAGGGGGGCCUCCGCAGAAGCGGUCGCCAUAGUCAAACCUGUCAGAGGAAAACAGGAGCUUGUGGGACCUGGACCCAGCCACCAAGAGCCCACCCCGAAGACCCUGUGGAUCCUGCUCCCUGAGAGGGACCCGACACCCAACCUAUCUUCUCCAGAUGGGAUCUGAGCCCCUUGUAUGUUCUAUGGACUUUCAGCAUCAGCAUUGCCUGGGGACUUUUUAGAAAUGCAGAAUCCUGGGCCCCAUCCCAAGCCUACUGAUUCAAAAUCUCUCUGGGAGGCACAGGACUGUUUCCCCAAGUCCUCCAGGAAAUACUUAUGUACACUGAAAUCUGAGAAGCUCUGCACUACUCCAUGCCUGGACACCAGGUACAUGCCAGCCUUCAGGUCCCAGGUUUGCUGCAUCUCCCACCCCCUGGCAGAGCCCCUAGAGACCCCUAGAGUCUCACCCUAGCUCCUCCCCAGUCCGGAUGUCUCGGGAACUGAAGAAGGCGAUGCGUGGAAAUCGCAGGUCUUGGUGCAGCAUGAAGACCCGGACGGGAAUGAUGUUGGGGUCACACAGCCUCAGCAUCAGAGAUCAGCUCCCCGACAUACCUGUGGGACAGGAAUCCAUGGUUCUGAAGGAGCCACCCGGCAGGAAUGGGCGAUAUGGAACAGGAGAGGGGCCAGGACUGCAGGAAGAGCCAGAGGUACAGGAGUGGCAAGGAACUCAAGGCAUGAUUCGGGGCAAGAGCACCCACACAUAUCUGGACACCAGAGGGAGGAGAGGAGCCAGCUAUCUAAGGAGGGUGUUAAGGUGCUCCCGGUGACUUACUCGCAGAUGAAGGUCCCCUGUGGGAUGGUCUGCAGGGCGCGGACCCCCCAGCCCAUCUUGGCUGUUCGGUAGAGCUGUAGCCGCACCCUGGGGGUAGGAGAGAUGGCGCUGUUGGGUGGAGGCCCUGGAAAAGCCCCAGGGGCAGGGAGGAAAGGGUGAGGUGGGGAGAGGGUGGGCUGUGGAGCAGGGCCUCACUUGAUGCCACUCUGUACGACCCGGUUCUUGCAGUUUCUCCAGCAUGAGCACGCCUGGUUACACUCGAAAAUCAGCGGAGGCUCAAUCUUGUUAAAUUCCUGGAGCAAUCGCCCAUCCUAGGGUGCGGAGGGGAGGAUAGUGGUUUCUCUGUGGGGCCCACCUCAGCUGCCCACCCAGGAACCCCAAGACUCUACAGAGACAGGGAAGUUGGGGUUGGGGAGGUCACACAGGCUCUGAGAUCCGAGAGCACGAAAUGCAGGAGCAUCAUCCCUGGUUUGCAUAGACCUGGGCACACGCCCAUCGCUGUCCCAGCCACAUCCCAGGAUUCCCAGGCCUUGCCCAGUCCUCUCAGUCACUUCCCCCACAGGGUAGGAGGUGAGGGACAUGGUCCCAGGGAGCUGGUUUAUUGGAGGCUGGCUCCUCUGAAGGAGGGGCCGGGUGUCUGUGGCCAAGGCAAGGGGCACGCACCUUGUCAUACCAGCACCGGAUGCUGAGCUGGCCGCACAGGCAGUUGGAGCUAGAGCAGUCGUCCACACACGUGCAGUGCUGGGGCGAGGAGGCAGAGGUCAGCUCAACCCCAUGAUCGGUCUGGGCCCCUCUACUCUUGAUGCCCCCUGACCCCCUAACCACUGUCCUUUCUUUGGGGUCCAUGUGUUACAACAGUGGGUGGUGAUGGUCCUAGGGUGACGGGUAAUCAGUAUGGUGGUGUCCCCAGGGCUACUGGGAGCUCAUAUGAUACCUUGCUGUGACCUAGGAAAAGGAUCCCUCCCCUGGUGGGGAUGCGACCCCACACCAGGGCUCCCUUUCAGCCAACCCUUCCUUGGCCAGGUGCCUUUGCUGGUUUGAAGCUUGUCCAACUGUACUUGGCAGCUCUCGGUGUCCUUUUGGGGAGGCCCCGGGCCCCCUACUCACCUGCAGGUGGGUGAUGUUGCGAUCGAUGUUCAUGGUGGACGUCUCGCAGUUCUCUGAGAUGUACUUGUAAUCCUCAGGGCAGGGCUCCCCAUCCACACCGUUGACACAGGGAAUGGGCACGUUCUCAUAGCCCCGAGCCACGUCCCUGCAGAAGACGGGAAGAAGGGGCUGGGAAGCUGGAAAAGGGGGUGAGGAGCUACUCCAGGUAUAAGGAAGAGAGUUGGGGAGGUUCCUGGGGCUGGGGGCAGGGGAGUAAGGUUGCCAGGUAAGAUGCAGGACAGCGAGUUAACAUAGAAUUUUAGAUAAACAAGAAAUAGCUUUUUAGUAUGUCCCAAAAAUUACACAGGACAUUCUCACACUAAAAAAGUAUGCAUCUGUGCAUCUGAAAUUCCAGUUUAA
Long non-coding RNA from Homo sapiens (human), 2571 nucleotides. Ensembl annotates it as EHMT2 and SLC44A4 antisense RNA 1. Its record names the gene EHMT2-AS1. NCBI's taxonomy places the organism in Eukaryota, Metazoa, Chordata, Mammalia, Primates, Hominidae. The record is from Ensembl.